This is a long non-coding RNA of Aptenodytes forsteri (emperor penguin), 4807 nucleotides long. RefSeq lists it as uncharacterized. The transcript is spliced from 2 exons. The record is from RefSeq and is a predicted model, not a curated record. NCBI's taxonomy places the organism in Eukaryota, Metazoa, Chordata, Aves, Sphenisciformes, Spheniscidae.
UGCUGCAGGAAGAAUAUGAAGUGAGUGGGGUCAGCAGACUUGCUGUCAAUUUUUUUGUGUUGACAGCAAGUAGAUGAAGCAUCUUGUCUACAGUACUUCUUCCCUGUCUGCACAGAAGUCUUCAACCCAUGCCAGGCCUGCAGGGCCGAGGGAGAAGUGAUGCUGGAAUAGGAUGGCCCCCACAUCUUCUGCAAAAACUCCUGGUUUUGUCAUUAUGAACACUUUGUUUAGCGUUGUUCUUGUGAGAGACAGGGCUGAAUUUGCUCAGCCUGAUUUAUUGAUCAUACAAGGGCCUCUCAUCCGGAGAAACCACAUCUUGUGUGUUUAGUCCUGCCUAUUUCAAAGCAUUUCAUUGUCUCUGAGGGGGGUAGACAGUGGGAUGAUGAUGAUCUUUACCCACUGCAAUGCUGGUGAGCUGUUGCUGUCUUUUUGUGCUUGAGUGGGUCAGGAUAUGCCUAUGCCAUUGCCAUAUGAAAACAGGCACAGAGACCUCAAUCGUCCCCGCAGCGGAGGCAGGGGCAGGCAGGGGCUGGUGCGAAGCCUGAACUUUGAGUCAUCUCUUCAUCAGCCUUCUCUCUAUUAACUUCUAGUGACUGCUACUGUGAAAGCUUGUGGAAGGCACUUCAGUCACUGAGGUACGAGUUUUAAGAGUAAAUAGUUAAAGAAGGAUUUAAUGAUGUGAACAGGUUUUACAAGCAUUUUUCCUUUCCACAAGGGUCUUGCUCCUUCCUCACUGUAGUGUUAGUGCUAGAGUUAUAGACACCUGUUGGUGGGAAGCCCUGCUCAAGGAGAUUGCAGCUGCUUUCCUGACAGCUCAGCCUGGAGCCUCCUGAAAGUAGUUCCCCACCCCAGUCCCAGAGCUGUACUUGUGUUCUGGCUCUCUGGAUAGCUGCAGUAUUUAACAGCACCACUUAUGCUAGCCUUCCUCAAAGGGCUGGGCUGGGCCUUUCUGCCCACUUACAGCCUUGACUCUUCCUACACUUUUCAGGGGAGUGUUGUACUACCGAUUAAGCAGUGUAAUGCUUGUCAGAAAUCUGGAGAGUUGUCAGACCUCUCUUUGAGGCCUAAGGCCUAGAAACAGUGGUGUUGCCAGAAGUCAGAACAGCAUGGCCUUGAAGUGAUCUGGACGCAUGGAUCUAGGAGAUGCAAAAACUGAGCUUGGGAGUGGGAGUAUCCUUGAGAGAAACUGAGUCUUGUUUUAUCACAGCACUGACAAGGAGCUACACUUUCUGAAAUACUAGAUAUUUAAUUUUGUUAGAACUGGGCUUAUUCUUUCCUGUGAAUGUGUCAGAAACAUGAUGGAGCUUAGCUCUACCAGUUUUUUUGCUGCAGUAUUGCUGUGCCACACCCUCAUAAGCAGUGCUAUUUUGGUGGCAGAGAAUGGGUUCUUAUCCCCAAACAAAUCAGCUCUUCUGUUGAGUUAAAGCAGUGUUAAUCCUUGAAGCACCACCCACAAGCGAUUUAACUCAGGCCUUACAGGUUCCUAAUUGUACAUCCCUAACUGUGAUGUAACUUGCAAGGCACUAUAUCCAUACCACUGCAGCCUGUCCUUCCAAGCUGUUUUUGUAGUCUGUACUCUUCCGCUAUGCUGUAUGACCAGGAGGACAAUCCAUAGGGAGGUGGCAGAACUUGCUGCUGAUCCAAGAUAAGGUUAAUCCAGAAAAGGAUGCCAGUUUCCACAGUGCAGUACAACACCUGUCCCCUCCCCUGCACUCCAGCUACAUGCAACAAUUUGAAAUUAGACCGCAGUAGCAAGCCAAGCACCCAUUUGAAUGUGUCCUCUGGUCAAUUUUGUGUGGCUGUAAAUUAACAUAUUUAGUGUCUGGAUGCUAACGAUGAUGUUAGCUGUAAAGGUACCACAGUUAACUGUAAAUAAUAUGGGUCACUUGGAAGCCACAAACUGCCUUUGCAUAAUGUUUGCUAUGCAGCAGACUGAAAGUUCAGGUGCCACUGUGAAUCAUACGAUAAAUACAAGCAGCAGUCAGCAAGGGAGACUGAAUGUCAGGUUUUAGUAAAGUGGAUGAAAUCCAGAAGAAAAAUUAUAAAAGCCACUUAGAUAAAACUAGGAUGCAUCCUCACCAUGACGGUUGGUUGGUUGGUUAGUUAAUUCAGAGUAACUGGAAAGCUCUUGAGAAUAAUUAGUAGCUUCAUACAGAGCACAUUCAAUAGCUGGAGACUUGAGCCUUCUUAGAUGGAAAGGAGGGGAAGUGUGUUGGGGGGAGGAAGACUUCAAAACAGAUGGGGCAAGUGAGGAGUCAGCUGCAAGCUAAUGAUGCUUUCUUGAGAGCAGGGCAAAAGGGAUGCUCAGCAGUGUUAGAUCACCAGGGCAGAAUGGCUUAAAAAAAAAUGCUUUGUUUGACCUGGUAACUAAGUGCUUUCCUGCAGGAUGUAACCGAGGCCAAUAGCUUAGAGAACCCAAAGGAAGUGGAUGUUUAAGGAAUGAAUAACAGGUAGAGUUCAAGGUCUCUUAAUCCUCAGCUGUAGCCAGACAAGAAUAUCCUCUUUCAAGGUUUAGCUGCACAAUUAUGUACGUUAGGAGGCAUUUAAUUCUUCUUAUGUAUCUAAUGUUGAUGACUUCUCAAGAUGGACACAGGAGCACACAUGAGCUCUCUACUAGGGUUACUAUUUCAAGCCUUCUGCUAUGUUUCUCUGUGUGGUAGAAUUCCUGCCCCUUACUGUUUCUGCAUUUCCAGUUUAGCAGAUGGUGCAAGAAACUGGAAAAUGACCAAACAAUUCUCCCUUUCUUGCUCUUGCUCCCAUCUUUGUAACAAGAUGAAUCACUUCAAUACAAAGCUUAGCUUCCUUGCUAACAAACAAGUCAGCAUCCCCCUGUGACAGAGAGGAUUAGUGCAAUCCAAUUUUAUGCCGUAAGAAACCUGAGGGUACAAUGAAAGACGAACUUUUGCACUUCCACUUCUUUCCUCCCUCAUCCACCUGCUCUGGCUUCUGGUCUGCCUUUAACCAUAAGGAAAAAAAGGCUGGAGAUAAGUUUUUUCACUUCUGCAGUCUUUACAGCUACAGAGAAGGAAUAAAAAUAAGGAACUAGACUGUAACUCAUACUCCUUAGUGCCUGCAGAACAAAAAAGAUGGAUCUUGAGGAGCCCUAUUAAUUAUUUAAUGUUAACUAUUAAUAUGAUCGCUCAUGUAGCUCUGGGGUGUAAAUUUCACUGUUCAGUAGGUCUCAUCUGAUGUCUGUUCUGCAGUACAAGUCCUUCUGAACUCUGUGGAAGGGAACUGCAUCUAUACACUAGGAGUGGAUAGACACUGCUUAUGUUGUAUGUGAAGUCUAGGUGAGCUUUGAAAGACUUGAACAAAUGAUGACCUACUAUUAGCAAAACUAUUUUAAAUGUAAUGCAAACCUUGAAAUAAGAGUUCCUCUUAAUACUUUUAUGUAGACAAGUCCCUUGAUACCUGGCCAACUGCAAUUUUUUUAAUGGAUGAAUGGAUUAGUGAGCAAAACUUUCAGCUACAGUGUCACUCUGAUAUACAAACUUCAUAUACUAAAGAGCGGGGUUGGGUGUCCAUCAGUCUGACACACUAGCCUUUUUUUUAACUCUGAUAUGAUAAGCUAAAUGAGUCUUUAGGAACUUAAGGUACGUUAGCAAAUGUUUUAGCUGGGAGUGGAGUGCUUUUUUUCAGUUGACUAUUUUACCUGUGUGCCAUUGUUUGGGUCAGUACAUAGUAUGCGUCGAUCUACCAGAAUGACUCCAGAACUGUGACUGAAACAUAGUUUCUGUUCAUGCAGUAGCUGUAUUGCUGUUACCAGAUCUGCUUAACAUGAAGAAUUUUUUUUUUUUCUUAAGUAUUUCGGGUGAAAGCCUUAACCAGGUGCCUGCCCCGUAAGGUAGGCUCACAUGUGGUGUUGUAUAGACUGAAACAUGACUGUCCUUAAAAUUGUGGAGUUUAAGAAACCAUAAUGAACAGAAGAAUGCUCCUGUUGCCAAAGGGCAAGAGUCUGGAUUAGAUGGGCUUGACCUUGCUCCAGUGGCUCUGGCUAAUCACUUCAGGGUGAUUGCUUUAGCCACUUGCUCCUUCUAAGUGAAGUAUUUCAAGUGGUCCUGAUGAUCAGGCACUAGAUAUAAGCAGGAGGUGCCCUGUGUCCCAUGCAUACAGUGUGUGCAAGUCUGGCUGAAAUAACACCGCAUAUUCCAGUGGUCUUGCACUGUUGUCCUGUCAACAUUAAGACCUGCAUUAUGGAUUUAUAACUUAACCUAAGAAAGCAAGUGCUAUUCUGGCUUGGUGUUUGCUCUGCCAGAGCAAGGUGGAGAUGGUCCCUCUACAGCCAAGCUGAACUCCUUAGGGAAUUUAAUAUGUCUGUUUUCUGAGCAGGUGUUUACUUGUAUCACAACCACUCUCCUUCAGUGGUGCCCUGGCCCUGUCUGCUCAAGAGCAACUCAACUUAGGCCCAGAAGGCUACUGAAUCCCCCGUAAUCUCUGCAGAGCAGAGCUUCCCUCCAGGUUAGGGUUGAGAUGGUGCUAGUGGGACCAGAAUGGUCCCCUUCCAUGCAAAUCAGUAUUCUACUCUAGCACUGAUAGGGUGCUCCAAAACCAUUUACAUCUUUGUCACUGGUACAGCUCAGAACUAAGAAAUGGAAGGUUUCUUUCUUUAAGAACAAUAUCAUGUAUGUCUUUUUGUAAUUAAUCAGUGUGAUUCUGUGUUCUUAUGUAGCCAACACAGAACUUGUAUUUAGAUUUAGUUCUUACUGCACUUCCCAUAGCCCUCAUGUUGAUACUUCUUCCUGCUUCCUUUGACACUUAGACAAUAAAAUUCCCUCUGUACUGCUCUCGGCUUGUGCGGAGAAAACAA